AUCGUACAUUGUAUAUUGUAUAUCGUAUAUUGUACAUUGUAUAUCGUAUAUUGUAUAUUGUACAUCGUACAUUGUAUAUUGUAUAUCGUACAUUGUAUAUUGUAUAUUGUACAUUGUAUAUUGUAUAUCAUACAUUGUAUAUCGUAUAUUGUACAUCGUAUAUUGUAUAUCGUAUAUUGUACAUCGUAUAUUGUAUAUCGUAUAUUGUAUAUUGUACAUCGUACAUUGUAUAUUGUAUAUCGUAUAUUGUAUAUUGUACAUUGUAUAUUGUACAUCGUACAUUGUAUAUUGUAUAUCGUAUAUCGUAUAUUGUAUAUCGUAUAUCAUGUAUCAUACAUUGUAUAUUGUAUAUUGUAUAUUGUAUAUUGUACAUUGUAUAUUGUAUAUCAUACAUUGUAUAUUGUGUAUUGUAUUUUGUAUAUUGUAUAUCAUAUAUUGAAUAUUGUAUAUUGUAUAUCGUAUAUCGUAUAUUGUACAUCGUACAUUGUAUAUCGUAUAUUGUAUAUUGUACAUCGUACGUUGUAUAUUGUAUAUCAUAUAUUGUAUAUUUUAUAUCGUAUAUUGUAUAUCGUAUAUUGUAUAUUGUACAUUGUAUAUUGUACGUUGUAUAUUGUAUAUUGUACAUCGUACAUCGUACAUUGUAUAUCGUACAUUGUAUAUUGUAUAUGGUAUAUUGUAUAUCGUAUAUUGUAUAUCAUAUAUGGUAUAUCGUAUAUUGUAUAUGGUAUAUUGUAUAUUGUAUAUCACAUAUAAUACACAGCAUCCAUUAUAUACUGUAUAUUAUACAUUAUAUCAAAUAUAACAAAUCAUUUCUGCCACAUCCAAACCCGGAUUUUCCCCUCAAUUUGGGGUUUCUGGUUCAUUUUUGGGCUCUCGUUGGAGUUUUGUGUUUGAACCUCGGUGUGGGGCUGCUCCAGGAUGGUUUUGGGUUUGUUUUGUUCCUCGUUUCCCUUUUUGUUGUGUCCGGUUCUGUCCAGUUCUGUGCCCAGUUCUGUGUCCAGUUCUGUCCAGUUCAGUGUCCAGUUCUGUCCAGUUCAGUGCCCAGUUCUGUCCAGUUCUGUCCAGUUCUGUCCAGUUCAGUGCCCAGUUCUGUCCAGUUCUGUCCAGUUCUGUCCAGUUCAGUGUCCAGUUCAGUGUCCAGUUCAGUGUCCAGUUCUGUCCAGUUCAGUGUCCAGUUCUGUCCAGUUCAGUGUCCAGUUCAGUGCCCAGUUCUGUCCAGUUCAGUGCCCAGUUCUGUCCAGUUCAGUGUCCAGUUCAGUCCAGUUCAGUGUCCAGUUCAGUCCAGUUCAGUGUCCAGUUCAGUCCAGUUCAGUCCAGUUCAGUCCAGUUCAAUGCCCAGUGCAGUGUCCAGUUCUGUCCAGUUCAGUGUCCAGUUCUGUCCAGUUCAGUCCAGUUCUGUCCAGUUGAGUGUCCAGUUCUGGGUUCCUCUGGACAGGAAAGACCUGGAGCUGCAGGAUCUCCUGGAUCUCCUGGAUCUCCUGCAGGGCAGCAGGGCUGGUGGCAGCGCUGGAUCAUUCGUGUCACACAGAGGUGACAAAUUCCCGAGAGAACGGAACUCUCCCGGUACCCCGAGGGCGCUGCCGGGGCCGGAGNGGCCGGGCUGAGCUCCCUGCAGAGCCGCAGGAUCCCCACUCCGGAUUUGGGAUCAGCUGGGAUCCAGUGGAUCUCUGCCAUUCCCUCAGCUCAAGGGUCGCUGCCACGGGGAAUUGAUCCGGCACAAUCAGAAAUAUUCAUUGCAAUGGGGCUCCCGCCUAAUCCACAACAGCUUUUCCAGGAAAUCAUUCCGUGGCUGCACCACUCCCUGUCCUCCUAUUCAGGGCAGCUUCAAAAAAGGGAACUGGGGCUGGAUCCUGUCCAGGACAGCUACCAAAAAGGGAUCUGGAGAUGGAUCCUGUCCAGGACAGCUCCCAAAAAGGGAUCUGGAGGUGAAUUCUGUCCAGGAGAGCUCCCAUAAAGGGAUCUGGGGGUGGAUCCUGUCCAGGAGAGCUCCCAAAAAGGGAUUGGGGGUGGAUCCUGUCCAGGAGAGCUCCCAAAAAGGGAUUGGGGGUGAAUCCUGUCCAGGAGAGCUCCCAAAAAGGGAUCUGGAGAUGGAUCCUGUCCAGGACAGCUCCCAAAAAGGGAUCUGGGGGUGGAUCCCAGCGAGUUCUCCCGUGGGUGACCUUGCCUGGAAAUUCCCCUUUGGGCAGCAGCUGCUCCUCCUGCGUUCCACAGCUCCUCCCAAAGCCCCGCUGCGGUUGGAGAACUUGAUAUCAAGUUUAUAGAAAGUUUAUAGACACUUUAUAUCGUUUAUAUCAAAUUUCUAUCAAGUUUAUUUCAAGUUUAUAUCAAGUUUAUAUAGUUUAUAUCAAGUUCAUAUCAAGUUUAUAGAAAGUUUAUAUCAAGUUUAUAGAAAGUUUAUAUAACAUUUAUCUCAAGUUUAUAUCAAGUUUAUAUCAAGUUUAUAUCCAGUUUAUAUCCAGUUUAUAUCAGGUUCCCUUCCUUGUUCUCCAGGUUUCCGAGCCGCCUUCCUCAGCUUUUCCAUCUUUAUUUCCCAUUUCUGCUCUUUGCGCUCGGAGCUCAGGAAAGGCCCAGAGAAAAAUCUGGAAACUUUAUUCCAAUUUAAAC
This is a long non-coding RNA of Parus major (Great Tit), 2604 nucleotides long. Lineage: Eukaryota; Metazoa; Chordata; Aves; Passeriformes; Paridae. The record is from Ensembl.